This 467-nucleotide ribosomal RNA is filed under the name uncultured bacterium. RNAcentral's name for it is "partial 16S ribosomal RNA". It matches the Rfam family "Bacterial small subunit ribosomal RNA", at positions 28 to 507 of the family's 1533-position model. The record is from RNAcentral.
GAUGAACGCUGGCGGCGUGCUUAACACAUGCAAGUCGAACGGAAAGGCCCAAGCUUGCUUGGGUACUCGAGUGGCGAACGGGUGAGUAACACGUGGGUGAUCUGCCCUGCACUUCGGGAUAAGCCUGGGAAACUGGGUCUAAUACCGGAUAGGACCACAUUUUGGAUGGUGUGGUGGAAAGUUUUUCGGUGUGGGAUGAGCUCGCGGCCUAUCAUCUUGUUGGUGGGGUAAUGGCCUACCAAGGCGUCGACGGGUAGCCGGCCUGAGAGGGUGUACGGCCACAUGUGGGCUGAGAUACGGCCCAGAGUCCGCGGGGGGGCAGAAGGGGGGAAUAUUGCACAAUGGGGGCAAGCCUGAUGCAGCGAGGCCGCGUGGGGGAUGACGGCGUUCGCGUUGUAGACUCCUUUCGCUAAGGACGAAGCGUUUUUGUGACGGUACCUGGAGAAGAAGCACCGGCUAACUACGUG